RNAcentral lists this unclassified non-coding RNA (18 nucleotides) under synthetic construct. Its description in RNAcentral is "RNA synthetic from synthetic construct (PDB 5C0W, chain R)". The record is from RNAcentral.
AAAUAAUAAAUAAAAAAA